UCCAGACUGAACAUCUCAGUUCUCUCAUCUGGGCACCGGGUUGACAGGAACACGGCUGGUUUAAAAGUGAAGGAAACACCAUGACCACAAUCACCGUUGAGUAUUGUAAAGGAUGAAGUUACGCAUACCGCUACCAGGAACUAGCCGGCGUCCUCAGGCAGGUUCCUGGUGUGAAGGUUGCUGGAGUCGAAGGGAGGGCAGACAGCUUUGAGGUUUUACUGGGUGAUGAGCUGCUCUACUCAAAACUCAAUACGGGGCAGUUUCCUGAUCCUGAACAGAUGGCAGCGAGGGUGAAGGAGAUGGUUCCUGGAGGAAAUGUGAAGAAGACGUCAAACCGCAAGAAUCUUAAAGAGAGAUGCCGCCUCCAGUAGAAGAUGGGAGGGUCUUCAACCUGUGUUCACUGCAACAAAGGGAUGUCUUUGUCUUUUUUCAAAGUAAAUUUCACAUCUAAAAAAAAAAAAAAGACAUGCUAAAGUUCCCCCACAGUUACCGUACUAUUUGCUGUAAAAGUAAAUAGGAAGUUGGUGAGAAAAGCUCAGAAGAGCCCGCCCCUGAUGUGCACUUCUGUUUAUGAAUGCACGCACUUAAACACUUGUGGUGUGUGCACGAUGCAAAUGUAGAAGUGUUUCAGUGGACUGGCUCCUCAACAACUGUUUACAAUUAAAACUAAUUGACAAUAUCACAAUAUUCUCAUCAACUUACUACAUGUUUUAGAUUUUCCCUGUUUUAGAUGAGUCCAAACGGAAGCUUUGGAUUUUUGUUCCCACGGUCCGAUGGUCAAUAUUUCACCAAAUUCAUUACUCGUCGCUUUGUUAGUUUUAUUUUCCUGUGGGGACGGGGGUUUCAGAGCAGCCAUGAAAACUACUGACUGUAUUUUCAUUUGACUGGGGUCAGAGUUCAGCUGUAAUCUUAAACAUAACCCUCUUGUGUUCCCACGGCGUCUCGUGGGAAAUUAGGCAAAUGAGAGCUCUAGGAUGUAGAUUACGGGGAGGCUUUACGACACCCGGCACGACGGCAUGUGGUUGCAAAUCAUAAAACAAGAAAUCAUGGGAGUAUUAAGUUCUACCGGGGGGGGGGGUCCUAAAAGUGCUGAUUUACAGCGUUCUAGUGACGACCAGAGCAGUCAUCAUGAAGUUGAAAGCUUUACUGUCGUUUCCGGCAUUCACAUCACAAAAAAAAAAAAACUUUGGUGGAGCAAUCCUGUCAGGAGUUCACUCUUUCAAUCCGGCGGUUGAUGGAGCUGAAACUAGAGGCUUUUGGUCAGGGGGGGGGAUUCCUGCUGCUGGCAUCUCCAGCCUCUUCCCCCCCCCGAACCUUUACGGAUCAACCUAGAGCUAGUCACAACAGUCUAGUCACAACAGUCUGGUAGUUACCGUAUUUUCCGCACUAUAAGCCACACCUUUAAUUUUCUCAAAAACCAGCAGUGCGCCUUAUAAUGCAGUGCGUUUUAUAUAUGAUCAUUACAGUAAUUUCUGUUACUCUAGUCAGGGGGAUUGUGGGUAAUGUAGUUGGUGUCGCAGAAGUAACGGCGCUAAAAACGUCAGAAAUCGUCACAGACGUUCAAGACAACAGCAGCGACGCUGACUCGCAUAAUGGCGACUUUGACGAGACGGAGCAAAGCUGGUUUUUAUUUUGUUAAUAAAGUUUGACAUACGAUACUUCCUGUUUUUUUUUUGCAUUUGCUGUAGGAUUUUGUAGCAUUUCCUGUAGCGCAGCUCCAUCAGGUAGAUACGUAACUCAACCCCAGAUUCAGAUUCAGAUUAUGUUUAUUUGCCAUUUGUGUAACACACAUAGGCAAUUGUCACGUUGGUAACAGUGUGCCUACUCAGAGUAUUCUUUUCACGUGUAAAUAAAUAAAACACAGACACAAACACCGCAGUGAGGAAUAGCAAAAAAUAAAGUGCAGGCAUAUACAUUAAAUAAAUUAUAGUCCAGUUAUGAUUAUUAUUAUUUUUUAGUUAAGGUGGCAGCCACUAUAGUACGGUAUUUUACCAGAUAUUUAGUGAGCCUUAUAAUGCGGUGCUCCUUAUAGUGCAGAAAAUAGGGUAAUUUAACCGCACAACAAGCCAUAUUAUCCUUAAACUAGAAUAAUUCUUCACAGCUCAGUCAAGUUUAAGAGUAUUAAAAGUCCACCUUGAAGGUCAGAAGACCCAACUCUUUAUUUAAAUUAAAUUCAAAUGUAUCUCUUCCCCUGCAAAUAUUUGGGCACCUGUGGAUCCUCCUCGCAGUACCUGUCCAACCUACAUUUUUCCUAUGAUUACUUUUUUGUUUUAACUUUGAAGUGAUGAUAUGUGACACGUGUCACUGAAAUCUGUCGUAUUUUCAACAUGUAAAUCAGCCCAAACCUCAUAAAUGUCAUCGCAGUUCAACCAAAUGUAUUAACAUACUUGAACUAACCCGCUUUUGCACGUUUACUUACUUUGAUCUUAUUUCUUUAAUCAACUGAUGCCUAAAUGAAUAUAGUAACGUAUAAACAAGUUUGAGCUUUUACAGGCUGUUUCAGAAUAAGCAGUCCCUUUUCAUGUCCUGUAAUUGUAGUUUUGGAUCCACGUUUCAGUCACAGGUCACCGGCGGAAGGAUAUCACGAUGCUGAGGCUCUUUGGUUAAGAAAAUACUAAACUAAAUACUAAACAAGUGUCUAGCGACCACCGUGUCCAGGCAUUCAGGGCUCUAUCUCACCACGGCACGUCGCAUUAACCAUCAGCACCAACGCGGUGCGUGCAGCUGCCGGUGCACGGUUACUACAGCUAGUCUAGACUUAUGUGUCAUAUAAAGUUUGGGAACAUGAGACUAACCAGCCUAAGCCUUGUACCCAAUGUUCAAUUUAAUGAAGGAGAAAAAAAACUAUUAAACUGUCUUAUUAAUAAAUUUUCUACAUGUAUUCA
This is a long non-coding RNA of Cololabis saira (Pacific saury), 2885 nucleotides long. RefSeq lists it as uncharacterized. The transcript is spliced from 4 exons. The record is from RefSeq and is a predicted model, not a curated record. Lineage: Eukaryota; Metazoa; Chordata; Actinopteri; Beloniformes; Belonidae.